Molecule: transfer RNA, 67 nt
Filed under: Marmota monax (woodchuck)
Lineage: Eukaryota; Metazoa; Chordata; Mammalia; Rodentia; Sciuridae
Description: tRNA.Ala
Source: RNAcentral
GGUUGUGGGUCAAUGGUAGAGCACUUGCCUAGCAUGUGUGAGGUACUGUGUUCGAAUCUCAGCACCA